Molecule: ribosomal RNA, 468 nt
Filed under: uncultured bacterium
Lineage: Bacteria
Description: bacterial SSU rRNA
Rfam family: Bacterial small subunit ribosomal RNA
Source: RNAcentral
AAUCAACGCUGGCGGCGUGCCUCAGACAUGCAAGUCGAACGAUUAAGACUUCCUUCGGGAAGUGCAUAAAGUGGCGCACGGGUGAGUAACACGUAAGUAAUCUACCCUCGAGUGGGGAAUAACGUUCGGAAACGGACGCUAAUACCGCAUAACGCAGCGGCACCGCAAGGUGACAGUUGUUAAAGGAGCAAUCCGCUUGAGGAGGAGCUUGCGGCAGAUUAGCUAGUUGGUAAGGUAAUGGCUUACCAAGGCUACGAUCUGUAUCCGGUCUAAGAGGACGGUCGGACACACUGACACUGAAUAACGGGUCAGACUCCUACGGGAGGCAGCAGUCGGGAAUUUUGGGCAAUGGGCGAAAGCCUGACCCAGCAACGCCGCGUGAAGGAUGAAGUAUUUUCGGUAUGUAAACUUCGAAAGAAUAGGAAGAAUAAAUGACGGUACUAUUUAUAAGCUCCGGCUAACUACGUG